This 253-nucleotide ribosomal RNA is filed under the name uncultured bacterium. RNAcentral describes it as "partial 16S ribosomal RNA". It matches the Rfam family "Bacterial small subunit ribosomal RNA", at positions 524 to 776 of the family's 1533-position model. The record is from RNAcentral.
UACGGGGGGAGCAAGCGUUGUUCGGAUUUACUGGGCGUAAAGGGCGCGUAGGCGGUCAGCACAAGUCAGUUGUGAAAUCUCCGGGCUUAACUCGGAAAGGUCAACUGAUACUGUGCGACUAGAGUGCGGAAGGGCAACUGGAAUUCUCGGUGUAGCGGUGAAAUGCGCAGAUAUCAGGAGGAACACCGGUGGCGAAGGCGGGUCUCUGGGCCGAUACUGACGCUGAGGAGCGAAAGCGUGGGGAGCAAACAGG